CCUACGGGAGGCUGCAGUGAGGAAUCUUGCGCAAUGGGGGAAACCCUGACGCAGCCAUGCCGCGUGAAUGAUGAAGGUCUUAGGAUUGUAAAAUUCUUUCAGCGGGGACGAUAAUGACGGUACCCGCAGAAGAAGCCCCGGCUAACUUCGUGCCAGCAGCCGCGGUAAUACGAAGGGGGCUAGCGUUGCUCGGAAUUACUGGGCGUAAAGGGCGCGUAGGCGGAUGUUUAAGUCAGAGGUGAAAGCCCAGGGCUCAACCUUGGAACUGCCUUUGAUACUGGGCAUCUUGAGUACGGGAGAGGUGAGUGGAACUCCGAGUGUAGAGGUGAAAUUCGUAGAUAUUCGGAAGAACACCAGUGGCGAAGGCGACUCACUGGCCCGUUACUGACGCUGAGGCGCGAAAGCGUGGGGAGCAAACAGGCUUAGAUACCCCUGUAGUC
Molecule: ribosomal RNA, 440 nt
Filed under: uncultured Caulobacteraceae bacterium
Lineage: Bacteria; Pseudomonadati; Pseudomonadota; Alphaproteobacteria; Caulobacterales; Caulobacteraceae
Description: bacterial SSU rRNA
Rfam family: Bacterial small subunit ribosomal RNA
Source: RNAcentral